AUCCUGAGGGAAACUUCGGCGUUAAACCCCAGCGCGGAAUGAAAGUGAACGUAGGUGAGAGCUUCGGCGCAUCACCGACCGAUCCUGAUGUCCUCGGACGGAUUUGAGUGAGAGCAUAUAGGGUUGGACCCGAAAGAAGAUGAACUAUGCGUGUGUAGGGUGAAGCCAGAGGAAACUCUGGUGGAGGCUCGCAGCGGUUCUGACGUGCAAAUCGAUCGUCAAACAUGCGCAUGGGGGCGAAAGACUAAUCGAAUCUUCUGGUAGCUGGUUUCCGCCGAAGUUUCCCUCAGGAU
This 293-nucleotide ribosomal RNA is filed under the name uncultured Verticillium. RNAcentral describes it as "partial 28S ribosomal RNA". It matches the Rfam family "Eukaryotic large subunit ribosomal RNA", at positions 677 to 979 of the family's 3401-position model. Lineage: Eukaryota; Fungi; Ascomycota; Sordariomycetes; Hypocreales. The record is from RNAcentral.